Molecule: ribosomal RNA, 377 nt
Filed under: uncultured bacterium
Lineage: Bacteria
Description: bacterial SSU rRNA
Rfam family: Bacterial small subunit ribosomal RNA
Source: RNAcentral
UACGUAGGGUGCGAGCGUUGUCCGGAAUUACUGGGCGUAAAGAGCUUGUAGGCGGUUUGUCGCGUCUUCUGUGAAAACUUGGGGCUCAACCUUAAGCUUGCAGGGGAUACGGGCAGACUAGAGUACUUCAGGGGAGACUGGAAUUCCUGGUGUAGCGGUGAAAUGCGCAGAUAUCAGGAGGAACACCGGUGGCGAAGGCGGGUCUCUGGGAAGUAACUGACGCUGAGAAGCGAAAGCGUGGGUAGCGAACAGGAUUAGAUACCCUGGUAGUCCACGCCGUAAACGGUGGGUACUAGGUGUGGGUUUCCUUCCACGGGAUCCGUGCCGUAGCUAACGCAUUAAGUACCCCGCCUGGGGAGUACGGCCGCAAGGCUAAA